Long non-coding RNA from Mytilus californianus (California mussel), 2103 nucleotides. RefSeq lists it as uncharacterized. Lineage: Eukaryota; Metazoa; Mollusca; Bivalvia; Mytilida; Mytilidae. The record is from RefSeq and is a predicted model, not a curated record. The transcript has 3 exons.
GAUAAAAAGAUCCUCCUUCCUUUUCUAAACUUCUUUUUAAAGUUUUAAAUUUGGUAAAUUAGAUGUUCCCUGAAUUUAGAGUAUCCAUGGGAACAUGUCCCAUUUUUACCAGCAAUUAAUAUACCCAUAGGAACAUUACGGUACAUGUUCCUCUCCAAAGUAAUAAAGGUAUCCAUUGGAACAUCACAUGUUCCUCUCCAAAGUAAUGAAGGUAUCCAUAGGAACAUCACAUGUUCCUCUCCAAAGUAAUGAAGGUAUCCAUAGGAACAUCACAUGUUCCGCUCAAAAGUAAUGAAGGUAUCCAUAGGAACAUCACAUGUUCCUCUCAAAAGUAAUGAAGGUAUCCAUAGGAACAUCACAUGUUCCUCUCCAAAGUAAUGAAGGUAUCCAUAGGAACAUCACAUGUUCCUCUCCAAAGUAAUGAAGGUAUCCAUUGGAACAUCACAUGUUCCUCUCCAAAGUAAUGAAGGUAUCCAUAGGAACAUCACAUGUUCCUCUCCAAAGUAAUGAAGGUAUCCAUAGGAACAUCACAUGUUCCUCUCCAAAGUAAUGAAGGUAUCCAUAGGAACAUCACAUGUUCCUCUCCAAAGUAAUAAAGGUAUCCAUAGGAACAUCACAUGUUCCUCUCCAAAGUAAUGAAGGUAUCCAUAGGAACACCACAUGUUCCUCUCCAAAGAAAUAAAGGUAUCCAUAGGAACAUCACAUGUUCCUCUCCAAAGUAAUGAAGGUAUCCACAGUAACAUCCCAUGUGUCUUACCAAUGUAAAUAAGGUAUCCAUAGGAACAUGGGAGCCUCGGUGGCCAAGUGGUCUAAGUAGUUAUAACUGUAAUCACUAGCCAGUUAACACUGAGGUUGUGAAUUCAAACCCCGCUCGUGCGGGUGCACAUGACUCCAAUCUUAAUUGACUUAGGGUUGUCAGUUUUCCUAUUGAAGGUCAGUGGUUUUCUCCAGGCACUCUGGCUUCCUCCACCAAUACAAACUGGCUGCCAUGAAAUAGCCAAAGUAGUGCUUAAAAGUGGCGUUAAAACACCAAAAAAUCAAAUUCAAAUCCAUAGGUGCACUGCAUGCUCCAAAUUUACUGGUAUCUGAUAUCCAUUGGAAUCCAAAUUUAGUUGUUCAGUUUGUAUUGAUGACAGAAUUGGCUUUACAAUGAACUUUGAACUCAAAGAAAUGGAUACACAUGUUUCAGAAAAAUAAGUUUGGUACCUAUAUCUCUUUUCACACUUUUGUUGUUUUUAAAUAAUUUGUAAAUUUUAUUGUAAAUGUAACAUAUUUAAGUUGUCAAAUUUUUGUGUAAAAAGGGGAAUGACCAUUUCAAAACUGUUUUUCAAUAUUUUUGUUAAAGAUUUUCAGAAGGAAACAGAAAAAUUAUUUAUAAAAAUGUGGAUAGUGUCAAAUGUGUAUAUAGUUUUAAGAAAAAUAGAAAAAAAAACAAAAAAAUGCAUGGGUGAUGGUUUUUAAUGAUUUUAAGAAAAAUAGAAAAAAAAAAAAAAAAAAAAUAUGCAUGGGUGAUGGUUUUUAAUGAUUUUAAGAAAAAUAGAAAAAAAAAAAAAAAAAAAAAAUAUGCAUGGGUGAUGGUUUUGAAUGAUUUUAAGAAAAAUAGAAAAAAAAAAAAAAAAAAAAUAUGCAUGGGUGAUGGUUUUUAAUGAUUUUAAGAAAAAUAGAAAAAAAAAAGAAAAAAAAUGCUUGGGGUUUAAUUAUAUCGUGAUGCAGAAAUGGGUCCAUUAUUUUAUCUUGAAUUUGGGAUUUAAUUAUAUCAUGAUAUGGAAUGGAUACAUUCUUUUAACUUGAAUUUGGGAUUUAAUUAUAUCAUGAUACGGAAUGGAUACUUUCUUUUAACUGGAAUUUGGGGGAUUUAAUAAUAUCAUGAUACAGAAUGGAUACAUUCUUUUAACUGGAAUUUGGGAUUUAAUUAUAUCAUGAUACGGAAUGGAUACAUUCUUUUAAUUUGAAUUUGGGGGAUUUAAUCAUAUCAUGAAACAGAAUGGAUACAUUCUUUUUACUUAAAUUUGGGAUUUAACUAUAUCAUGAUACGGAAUGGAUACAUUCUUUUAACUGGAAUUUGGGAUUUAAUUAUAUCAUGAUACGAAAUGGAUACAUUCU